This is a long non-coding RNA of Neofelis nebulosa (Clouded leopard), 1481 nucleotides long. RefSeq lists it as uncharacterized. The transcript has 3 exons. The record is from RefSeq and is a predicted model, not a curated record. Lineage: Eukaryota; Metazoa; Chordata; Mammalia; Carnivora; Felidae.
GGGAUGCUCAGAGUGGGAGGGACCUCGGGCUCACCUCCCACGGGACCUGCUAGGGGGGUCACGUGGCACAAAGGACUGGGUGCUUGCCAUGGGGUGCCGGGUCUCCCACCUCCCCUGGCCCAUGGCUUCCUCAGGCUGGUGGAUGAAGGUGUUUUGCGAAGGGAAAGGGCGACCGGGACGGUGCCGGUGGGGGCCAUUUAUGAGUGUUUCCCAUGAGCAGGUGCUGCGGUCAGCCUCUCCCACACGUCCUCCCGUCUAAUCCCCGCAAGCCACCUGCUGGGGGGUUGUUGUUAUCCCCACUUGGCAGGUGAGAGAGCUGAGGCUCAGGGGAGUCCCGGGGCCCCGUUCGGUCAUGGAUCCAGCUAGGAUUGUAAGUGAAAACGGCAGCGACCCUUCCAGUCACUAGGGCGGGGAUGCCCAUGGAGUAGGCUUCAUGGAGAUGCUGUGGCAACAGGUGACAUAAUAAGGUCCCCACAACAACGGUCACCGUCAAGGAGACAGUGGACGACAGGGUGCGGCCGUGUGGAGGCAGGCAAACCUUGUUGCUCCUGUCAUACGUACACUGUUUUGUCUCGUCCUGAUGGCAACCUUGUAACACGCUGGUCACACUGUGGUCAGGACGGUGACGGAGGUGGUGGCUGCUCAAACAGGGUGUCCCCAGUAAACCUGCCCACUGCUGUGUCCAUCUCAGCCUCUGCUCCCUGGGACCCCAACCUUCGUGGGCAUCCAUCACGUGCACGAGGGAGCGUGCCCUCAAGGGAAGAAGGGAGAAGGGGGUACGGAGGGCCGGCAGCGGCCUGCCCCAGGAGGCCGCCGCCAUGGCGGGGUAACCGGGAGGCUGUCACUAGUCGUGGCGAAGCACGGUGGCGAGAGGAGCAGGAGGCCACGGUGGAGCAAGCUGCUCAGACUCCCGGUCCCCGCUCCUCGUGGUCAGCCUGACGCCCGCCCUGGAGGGGCCCCGUCUGCCGCUUCUGCUCGCCGGUUCCAGCCCUAGGCCCCUCCAGUCCUCCCAGAUGCGCGUCCCCGCCCGCUAGUCGAGCCGCGUGGCCCUCCCUGGGGGCUGACACCCAGCCCUCUCACUCCCCACAGCUACAUGUCUGGGCUCAGCGUCAGCUGCGGGGGGGCUCCCCGGUGCAACCCAACCUAGGUCCUCUCGACAACGAUGGUGGAAAGGGUGGCGAAGGGCCUGUUAAUGCCAAUCCUUCUCUUUCUGGCUGAACGCCUCCACUGAGCCUCCGCUUCGGGGGCCAAGGGACAAGAUCACCUGUUUUGUCUUUUCGUACGCUAGCAGGGUGUAGACUUCACUCUUACGCAGACCUGGGUGGUUAAGAAGCAGACCAAGGAUGGAGUAGUGUGGGGAUGAAGUCUGCUGGACGAAGCUGUGCUCCUUCCCAGCCCCCACCGCGACCCCCUUCUUUGGAAAAGGGUGGGCAGGCCUGACCAAGCCCCUGACCUCUGUCACCACAGUCCUGCGGGGCAGA